Solanum dulcamara is the source of this 1980-nucleotide long non-coding RNA. RefSeq lists it as uncharacterized. The record is from RefSeq and is a predicted model, not a curated record. NCBI's taxonomy places the organism in Eukaryota, Viridiplantae, Streptophyta, Magnoliopsida, Solanales, Solanaceae. The transcript is spliced from 2 exons.
UUACCCCAAUUCUAAAUCCAAUAAUUCCAAGGCCCACCAAUACAGUAACCCAUUAUCACAAUUCCCACUUAAUUCAUUCCCAACAAAAGACCUCAGCAUAUGCUAUCAGAUACGCACAUACACCAUACAAUUUAUACCAGUGAACCCGCGUACACACGCACAUACGCGUCGUCUUCUCCCUCAAUUUUUCGGACAAACAUCGCAAAUUCACCGCUCAAAUGUUCUUCUCGAAUUCGGAGUUCUACUUCACUGGAUUCGGCUUAUAGGUGGUGGUGGAGUCGCUUCGAAGUCCGCUGCAAUCAAAAAGGGCAAUAUUAAAAAUAAACUUAAAGCCUUCUUUUUAUUCCUAACUUUUUUUUCGUGCUUAAGGUCAUUUUGUUUACAUGAAAAUUACUUUUACAUUCCUUAUAUUUUAACUAAAUUCUCAAAUUAUCCUUUUAACUAAAUUUUCAAACUAUUCUUUUAAUUCUAAAAUUCACAUCAUUUUCCUCAUUUAACCAUUUUUAUCCAAACACUCAAUUGCUUAUUUAUAAAAAUAACUUUCAGCACUUCAAAGUUCUAAAAUCACUUUAUACAUAAAAGUUAUUUUUUUUAAACCCAUUCAAACGGGUAUGUUAGUUAUUUGAUUGUAACAGCUUACGUCUCUUUUUAGUAUAAAGUAUGUUCAUAAUCUGUAGAAUAGUUAAAUAAAUUGAAUGCCUCUGUCGUUUUUUUUUUUUUUUUAAACUUUAUGGCUUUAGUUGUGUACCACAUUUGAAUCUUAACAAUUAUCUUCUUUUUGAAUAUAAGUUAAUUUAAAUUUAUACGACUUCUAUUUAAGUGUGUCUAGUAUUGUAUUGGUAAAUUUUGCAUGAUAAACUGGGUUAGAUUAGUAAUUAUCUAGAAAUUUUCUUUUUCUCAUUUUAAAAUCUUAGUUAUUGUUCUUAUUUGAAGUAUAAGGAAAAUGACUUGUUCCUCCUCCUAUAUUUUAGAAAUUUCCGUUGGUCUUCUUUGUUGUAAAAUGAAUCUCAAAAAAAUUGAUUUCUUGUCAUUAUAUAUAUGUGAGUGUUGGUUUUGAUCUUUCUCUAAAUUAACUAUUGAAUACAUGUGUAAUUUAUGUGUACUGUAGCUCCUGUUUCAACUCUUUCAUUGCUAAAGUUGCAUCAAAAUAAACUCAUUCCCAUUCCUAUUUUUUCAUAGUAGGCCAGUAGGAUGUUUGAUGGGGUUCACUCUAUGACUAUCAUUUUGAAGCCUUCGUUAAACGAUUUUUCUUAUUCUUUUGGUUUGCCUUUCAAUUUAUAUCAUUUGUGAGAAUAUAGUUUAGUGUUAAUUUUGUUUUGGCCUCUAUCUGUCGUGUGAGUUCACAUUUAUCCAUGUUUAAACAAAAAAUUGAUAAGUCUAAACUCAUUUUUUUAAUAUACAUAUAUAUAGAAAAAUAUCAGUUAUGAUGUGUGCUAGUUGAAAGUCAUCAUUUUAGUGUUAAUGCGUGUUUGUUAAUGAUCCGGAGCAUUAAGUUUCCUUUAAUUCAUGGUAAUAUUUCGCUUGAUCUCAUUACCUAUGAUAUGAAUUGAGUAUUAAUCCUUAUUAUUAUUUUUUCUUGCAUGGACUCCCUCGGUUUGAGUCCGUUGGACUCUCUUUUUUCUCCUGCGCAUCUCGGGUUAUUUAAAAACCCAAAUAUCAAGUCAACCUCGUCAAUGGAAGCUGAUGAACAGAUUUUGAAAGCUGAAAAGGGAUCUCGGAAGUCUAAAAUGGGAUGUAUACAGUGUUGUAUACACCUAGUAUAAUGUGGAAAACAGGCGAUAUACAUUGAUAUACAGUUGGUGUAUACAACAGCAAACUGGGAAGGAUAAAAAUGGGCCUAUUAGCCCAAUAAUCUGAACUUGGGCAGGAGCCCAAAUUUAUUCUUUCCUCUAUUUUUAUAUUCUUUGAUUGUAAUUUACUUGUCUAAUUUUAUUCUAUUUUAACUUAGUUAAUUUCUCCAAAAGAAGAACUAAUUUCUUU